AUACGGAGGGGGCUAGCGUUGUUCGGAAUUACUGGGCGUAAAGCGCGCGUAGGCGGUUCGUAUAGUCAGGCGUGAAAGCCCCGGGCUCAACCUGGGAACUGCGUUUGAUACUGACGAGCUAGAGUCCGGGAGAGGGUAGCGGAAUUCCCAGUGUAGAGGUGAAAUUCGUAGAUAUUGGGAAGAACACCGGUGGCGAAGGCGGCUCUCUGGCCCGGUUCUGACGCUGAGGUGCGAAAGCGUGGGGAGCAAACAGGAUUAGAAACCCCAGUAGUCC
RNAcentral lists this ribosomal RNA (274 nucleotides) under uncultured bacterium. RNAcentral's name for it is "partial 16S ribosomal RNA". It matches the Rfam family "Bacterial small subunit ribosomal RNA", at positions 523 to 796 of the family's 1533-position model. The record is from RNAcentral.